CCUUUCUACGGAGAUAUUUUUCUGGCCACUGUCUGGUGGCCUUUCCUGCCCCGGUUCCCGCGGUGGUCGCGGGGGUUUGUCCGGGGUGUGCUGGUGUGGAAGAGAUCGUGUGGCUUGGAGUGGUGCGGGCAUGCUUUUGGGUUCCCGGAUCGCCACCCAUGGGGUUUGUCCCCCGUGUGGCGUCCGUCGUCCCGGUCUUGCGGCGCGUCCCCCGGCGGGGUUCGCGUGGUCGCGGGUCGGGUGCGUGGCGGUUUGAGAACUGGAUAGUGGACGCGAGCGAGAAGGGCGGGUUUGUCCCGUCCCUUUAUCGCUGUAUUUUUCGAUCGAACUUCAUUUUUGGUGUUGUUCGUCGAUCGUUUUGUGAUCAUUUCAGAUGUGAUGAUUUGUCGUCUGGGAAUUUGCUGAUUGGGCGCUUGCGGGUCCCGCACGGGUGUGUG
RNAcentral lists this unclassified non-coding RNA (437 nucleotides) under Bifidobacterium merycicum. RNAcentral describes it as "partial 16S-23S ribosomal RNA". Lineage: Bacteria; Bacillati; Actinomycetota; Actinomycetes; Bifidobacteriales; Bifidobacteriaceae. The record is from RNAcentral.